AGCAGCCGCGGUAAUUCCAGCUCCAAUAGCGUAUAUUAAAGUUGUUGCAGUUAAAAAGCUCGUAGUUGAAUUUCGGGGUCAGUAGUUCGGUCGUGCCUCAGGUAUGCACUGGACUCACUGAUUCCUCCUUCCUGAUGAACCGUAAUGCCAUUAAUUUGGUGUUGCGGGGAAUCUGGACUGUUACUUUGAAAAAAUUAGAGUGUUUAAAGCAGGCUAACGCUUGAAUACAUUAGCAUGGAAUAAUGAAAUAGGACGUUCGAUCCUAUUUUGUUGGUUUCUAGGAUUGACGUAAUGAUUAAUAGGGAUAGUUGGGGGCAUUAGUAUUCAAUUGUCAGAGGUGAAAUUCUUGGAUUUAUUGAAGACUAACUACUGCGAAAGCAUUUGCCAAGGAUGUUUUCAUUAAUCAAGAACGAAAGUUAGGGGAUCGAAGACGAUCAGAUACCGUCGUAGUCUUAACCAUAAACUAUGCCGACUAGGGAUCGGAUGAUGUUAAUUUUUUAAUGACUCAUUC
Molecule: ribosomal RNA, 511 nt
Filed under: uncultured Glomus
Lineage: Eukaryota; Fungi; Glomeromycota; Glomeromycetes; Glomerales; Glomeraceae
Description: SSU rRNA
Rfam family: Eukaryotic small subunit ribosomal RNA
Source: RNAcentral